CCAGACGCCUGCUUGUAUUAGCAGUGGGCAACAUCACUCAAAGUUAGUGUGGGUCUUAGAUUAGGCUUCAUUUCUACUUCCCCACCCAGUCUGGAAGCUGUUUGGCCCAUGUAGCAUGUCAGAGAUCUAUUCCUUACUUUCCAUUCCAGAGAUGAAUAUUCUGUCAAAUCCUCUAUUUCUUCUUUCCUGGGCUUCUAAAAUAACUCCUUCCCUAAUUUUCUUUGCAAUCAUUCUGUCCCUUCUUCUGUAGUCCUUCCUUUAUCUGUCUAUACCAUUCUGACUCCUAACUGAAACACCCUUUAAAAUGCGACCUUGCCCUUCAUUUAAUUUAUUCUCUCUGCACUGUCAAUACCUCCACCUUGAAAACCUGAGUAUGAAUUGGAUACCUCCCCAGCACUGAGCUGGACUCUCACAUGGUCUGUUUCCUCAGUAUAAACUGCCUUUGGAGAGCUUUCUUCUGAUCUGCUGUCUGUGAGCAUACAUUUAACAUGGACUUAUGUUGUAGGGCAGAGGUUUGCAUGAAGGAUCUCAUAAUGAGGAAUGAACCAUGAAAAUACCUGCAAAAUUUGGUGCAGGGCAUAGCUGCAAAGGAUCACUUGACAAUACUGAAACUUCUGUAUCAAUGCUAACCUUGGAACUGAUCUGAACUACCUGGAUAAGUGCACAUACAGCAGCAGUAAUGCAUUGUUCUAGAAGACGGAAACCCCAAAAAUGAGAGCUUGGAGUGGAAUUUUCCCUCUGGAUUGACAAGGACCUCAGCUAAGCUGUAGCGUCAUAAGCAUCACUUGAACAUGUCUCAUCAAUGCCUUUUCCAUUGCAUCUUUCCAUCUCUCACAUUCCUUGCCUGUUGCACAAAGGAUCUAAAUCUCUUGAGACCUGACAUCCUUUGCGUGGUUCAAGUUAGCAAGCUUUUCACAACCAAGGAGGAAUUAAUGACCUGAUACACAACAAGUAAUACAAGAUGAUCUCAUGUCCAUUUCUGCUCUCAGGGGAAAAGCAUCUGCCAAAGAACAAGAUGCUGCCACUUGGGUUGUGCUUGAUCAAGAAGAGGAAAGGGUGGUCAGCCCUAAUCUCUUCAGAGACACUUGUGUCAUCUACCCCAGCGCCUGAUGAGCGUACCACCUUACUGCCUGCUUCAUAAAUCUCCACAAAUGCCUCGUGGAAUGCUUCAGACACCUUCAGGCUCUCUGCUGAAGAGAUGCCAGAGAGGUUGGCUGAGGGGCUGAACAGAAAUAUAUCCCAAAAGUCAUUCUGUGCUUGAGUUGUAAGCUCUAUCUACAUUUAAGACCUCCAGCCCAUCUGCCAGGGCCAUACCUGCUCCAGGCCAGAGAUGUCAUCAGGCAACAGCACCCACAGGCUCAGCCGACCGCUGGCAUAUGGA
Molecule: long non-coding RNA, 1381 nt
Organism: Parus major (Great Tit)
Lineage: Eukaryota; Metazoa; Chordata; Aves; Passeriformes; Paridae
Exons: 5
Source: RefSeq, a predicted model, not a curated record